AUUGAACGCUGGCGGCAUGCUUUACACAUGCAAGUCGAACGGCAGCGCGGGCUUCGGCCUGGCGGCGCGUGGCGAACGGGUGAGUAAUGCAUCGGAACGUGCCCAGUCUUUGGGGAUAGCCCGGCGAAAGCCGGAUUAAUACCGCAUACGACCUGAGGGUGAAAGCGGGGGACCGAAAGGCCUCGCGCUAUUGGAGCGGCCGAUGUCGGAUUAGCUAGUUGGUGGGGUAAAGGCUUACCAAGGCGACGAUCCGUAGCUGGUCUGAGAGGACGACCAGCCACACUGGAACUGAGACACGGCCCAGACUCCUACGGGAGGCAGCAGUGGGGAAUUUUGGACAAUGGGGGCAACCCUGAUCCAGCCAUGCCGCGUGAGGGAAGAAGGCCUUCGGGUUGUAAACCGCUUUUGUUCGGGAAGAAAACCUCUGGGCUAAUACCCCGGGGGGAUGACGGUACCGGAAGAAUAAGCACCGGCUAACUACGUG
RNAcentral lists this ribosomal RNA (484 nucleotides) under uncultured bacterium. Its description in RNAcentral is "partial 16S ribosomal RNA". It matches the Rfam family "Bacterial small subunit ribosomal RNA", at positions 29 to 507 of the family's 1533-position model. The record is from RNAcentral.